AACCCCCAGCUAGGCUGGGGGUUCCGGAAAGCUUUCAGCUUUAAGCCAGUUAUUAAAACCCCUUUUGAUUUGUUAAAAC
RNAcentral lists this small RNA (79 nucleotides) under Salmonella enterica subsp. enterica serovar Infantis. Its description in RNAcentral is "Hfq binding sRNA". It matches the Rfam family "STnc490 Hfq binding RNA", at positions 1 to 79 of the family's 124-position model. The record is from RNAcentral. RNAcentral also lists the same sequence under 3 other names. Lineage: Bacteria; Pseudomonadati; Pseudomonadota; Gammaproteobacteria; Enterobacterales; Enterobacteriaceae.